RNAcentral lists this ribosomal RNA (301 nucleotides) under uncultured bacterium. Its description in RNAcentral is "partial 16S ribosomal RNA". It matches the Rfam family "Bacterial small subunit ribosomal RNA", at positions 509 to 809 of the family's 1533-position model. The record is from RNAcentral.
CAGCCGCCGCGGGAAUACGUAGGUGGCAAGCGUUGUCCGGAAUUAUUGGGCGUAAAGCGCGCGCAGGCGGAUAGGUCAGUCUGUCUUAAAAGUUCGGGGCUUAACCCCGUGAUGAGAUGGAAACUGCCAAUCUAGAGUAUCGGAGAGGAAAGUGGAAUUCCUAGUGUAGCGGUGAAAUGCGUAGAUAUUAGGAAGAACACCAGUGGCGAAGGCGACUUUCUGGACGAAAACUGACGCUGAGGCGCGAAAGCCAGGGGAGCGAACGGGAUUAGAUACCCGCGUAGUCCCUGUCUCUUAUACA